UUAAACUAAGAAUAUAAGGGUAGAGUUUUAUAUUCAAAAAUUAAUAUAAGAUGAAGAUAUAAAUAAAUAUUUAUAAAUUAGACUUUUUAGUGGCCAUAUUAUUAAAGUAUUUUAACUAUUAAAAUAAAAAAAGUUUUAUUUUUAUUCUCUUUUUUUUUUAGUAGAAUAUAUUUUAUAUCAAAAAUAAAUUAGAAAUAAUGAAAAUAUUAGUAGAAAAAAAAUAUUAUUUGUAUAAAUAUAAAUUAAUAAAUAAAAUUUAAUAGAAGGGAAAGAAAAAUUAAAGGAACUCGGCAAUUUUUUUUCUUGCCUGUUUAUCAAAAACAUGUCUGUAUGAAGUUAUAUAAAGUCUGGCCUGCCCAUUGAAUAAAUUUAAAAGGCCGCGGUAUAUUAACUGUGCAAAGGUAGCAUAAUCAUUAGCUUUUUAAUUGAAGGCUUGUAUGAAUGGUUGGACAAAGUAAAGGCUGUCUUUAAUUUUAUUUUUUGAAUUUAACUUUUAAGUGAAAAGGCUUAAAUGAAUUUAAGGGACGAUAAGACCCUAUAAAUCUUUAUAUUAAAUUGUUAUUUUGAAAUUUAAUGGUUUGUUUAAAUAAAUAAGAAAACAAAAAAUAUUUUGUUGGGGUGAUGAGAAUAUAUAAAUAACUGUUCUUAUUUUAUACAAAGUUAUUUGUUUAAGAUUAGUAGAUCCUUUAUUUAAGAUUAAAAGUUUAAGUUACUUUAGGGAUAACAGCGUUAUUUUUUUUGAGAGUUCUUAUCGAAAAAAAAGUUUGCGACCUCGAUGUUGAAUUAAAAUUUCUCUACGGUGUAGAAGUUGUAGAAGAGAGUCUGUUCGACUUUUGAAGUUUU
Molecule: ribosomal RNA, 843 nt
Filed under: Paramunida longior
Lineage: Eukaryota; Metazoa; Arthropoda; Malacostraca; Decapoda; Munididae
Description: partial 16S ribosomal RNA
Rfam family: Archaeal large subunit ribosomal RNA (bases 264-511)
Source: RNAcentral